RNAcentral lists this ribosomal RNA (408 nucleotides) under uncultured bacterium. RNAcentral describes it as "bacterial SSU rRNA". It matches the Rfam family "Bacterial small subunit ribosomal RNA", at positions 509 to 916 of the family's 1533-position model. The record is from RNAcentral.
CAGCAGCCGCGGUAAUACAGAGGGUGCGAGCGUUAAUCGGAAUUACUGGGCGUAAAGCGCACGUAGUCGGCUUGUCAAGUCGGGUGUGAAAUCCCCGGGCUCAACCUGGGAACUGCAUCCGAAACUGACUUGCUAGAGUAUGGGAGAGGGAGGCGGAAUUUCUGGUGUAGCAGUGAAAUGCGUAGAUAUCAGAAGGAACAUCAGUGGCGAAGGCGGCCUCCUGGACCAAUACUGACGAUCAGGUGCGAAAGCGUGGGGAGCAAACAGGAUUAGAUACCCUGGUAGUCCACGCCCUAAACGAUGACAACUGGAUGUCGGGAGGGUUUGCCUUCCGGUGUCGUAGCUAACGCGUUAAGUUGUCCGCCUGGGAAGUACGGCCGCAAGGUUGAAACUUAAAGGAAUUGACGG